This 374-nucleotide ribosomal RNA is filed under the name uncultured organism. RNAcentral's name for it is "partial 16S ribosomal RNA". It matches the Rfam family "Bacterial small subunit ribosomal RNA", at positions 527 to 896 of the family's 1533-position model. The record is from RNAcentral.
GAACCGUACAAACGUUAUUCGGAAUCACUGGGCUUAAAGGGUGCGUAGGCGGCUCUGCAAGUUGGGUGUGAAAGCCCUCGGCUCAACCGAGGAAUUGCGCCCAAAACUGCCGGGCUCGAGGGAGACAGAGGUGAGCGGAACUUAGGGUGGAGCGGUGAAAUGCGUUGAUAUCCUAAGGAACACCAGUGGCGAAAGCGGCUCACUGGGUCUCUUCUGACGCUGAGGCACGAAAGCUAGGGGAGCGAACGGGGAUUAGAUACCCCGGUAGUCCUAGCCGUAAACGAUGAGCACUGGGUCGGAGGACCCUUCCCAUAGUCUUCUGAUCGUAGCGAAAGUGUUAAGUGCUCCGCCUGGGGAGUAUGGUCGCAAGGCUG